GGGUUAUUACCACGUAAUAAUUGAUGAGGACACUAAGGGCUAAGAGGAGUUAAUUAACUUGUCCCCAGUUACAGAGUCGGAAAUCAGGGAUGGAUCUUAAUUGGUGGGACUGUUCCCAGGGCCUGUGAGAGACUGGGUUUCAGCCCAGAGCCCAACACAGCGCCGGAAGACAAAGUAUCAGGGCAGUGGUUUUCAAAGUGUGGUCCCUGGACCAAUAGCAUGAACAUCAUCUUGGAACUUGUCAGAAAUGGAAGUUCCCAGGCCCCAUGCCAAACCUACUGAAUUGGAAACACUAGGAGUGGGACACAGCUAUCUGACCAAGACUUCCAGGCCAGUGACGUGUAAAUGGCAAACACCACUUCUGCUUAUAUCCAGUUGAUGACCACGUUGUCAUAGCCACACUCAGCCACAAAGUCAGCUGCCAACUGUAGCCUCUAGCAGUUGUCCAUUGCACAGGAAGAAGGGAAGAACUGAUUUUGAAGGCAUAACUGACCAUAAUCCCGCUAAAGGAAACAGGACAUCCUAAGACGGCUGCUGAAAUCACUACCCUUGCUGAUGGAAACUCACAUCUCCGAGCCUUUGGCAAGGGCUUUAAUAAAAUCUCCUUUUAGAAAUGACUUCUUAUAGCCUGCUAUUAAUUAUCCUGGUUGGAGGAGAACA
Molecule: long non-coding RNA, 660 nt
Filed under: Papio anubis (olive baboon)
Lineage: Eukaryota; Metazoa; Chordata; Mammalia; Primates; Cercopithecidae
Description: lncRNA (ENSPANG00000046061.1)
Source: RNAcentral